RNAcentral lists this unclassified non-coding RNA (229 nucleotides) under plant metagenome. Its description in RNAcentral is "partial contains small subunit ribosomal RNA, internal transcribed spacer 1, and 5.8S ribosomal RNA". The record is from RNAcentral.
GCUCCGUAGGUGAACCUGCGGAGGGAUCAUUACAGAGUUCAUGCCCUACCGGGUAGAUCUCCCACCCUAUGUUAUUAUUACUUUGUUGCUUUGGCGGGCCGUUAGGCUCCGGCCCGACUACCGGCCCCGGCUGGUAAGCGCCCGCCAGAGAACCCAAAACCCUGAAUAUUAGUGUCGUCUGAGUACUAUAUAAUAGUUAAAACUUUCAACAACGGAUCUCUUGGUUCUG